Molecule: ribosomal RNA, 405 nt
Filed under: uncultured bacterium
Lineage: Bacteria
Description: bacterial SSU rRNA
Rfam family: Bacterial small subunit ribosomal RNA
Source: RNAcentral
UGGGGAAUAUUGCGCAAUGGGCGAAAGCCUGACGCAGCGACGCCGCGUGUGGGAUGAAGGUCUUCGGAUUGUAAACCACUGUCGGGAGGGACGAAGCUCUGACGGUACCUCCAAAGGAAGCACCGGCUAACUCUGUGCCAGCAGCCGCGGUAAUACAGAGGGUGCGAGCGUUGUCCGGAAUCACUGGGCGUAAAGGGCGCGUAGGCGGCUUGGUAAGUAGGGGGUGAAAUCUCACGGCUCAACUGUGAGGCUGCCUUCUAGACUGCCGAGCUCGAGCACAGUAGAGGCUGGUGGAAUUCCCGGUGUAGCGGUGGAAUGCGUAGAGAUCGGGAAGAACAUCUGUGGCGAAGGCGGCCAGCUGGGCUGUUGCUGACGCUGAUGCGCGACAGCGUGGGGAGCAAACAG